Molecule: non-coding RNA, 759 nt
Filed under: Pan troglodytes (chimpanzee)
Lineage: Eukaryota; Metazoa; Chordata; Mammalia; Primates; Hominidae
Source: RNAcentral
AGGAGAGCCCGGAGCCGGAUCCACUCUCAGCCUCAGGAAGCAGCAGCCUCCGCUCCGCGGCGGGUGUGCUCGGCAGUCACAGACCCACUCAGGACACCUCCCGUUGCCGACGGGCUAGACCUGCCUUAAAGGGGUCCCCGUGUCUCUCCAGUCUAGAGCCUAAGUUCAAACGAGGCGUAUAGGCGAGGACAGCAGGAAGGCUCCAAGUCAAACAAAUGGAUGGGAAGUGGUCUUGGGAAACCUGAAGACACUGGGAUAUUCAGAAGGCCAAGGGGAUCCAGCUUAUCCUGUUGGGCAAGGUGCUGGGAGUGAAGGCAGGUCACCUGAAUGAUACUGGUGCCAUUUCUGAAGUUGGUGAAACUCCGCAUUACAUCCUGACUCAGAGAUUCCACUGAUGAUUUCCAGGAACUACCAAAGCCACGGAUCAGCUGAGUUACCCGGGCUAAUAGCAGGAGGAAACAGUGUCAGAGAGGGAUCUGGCUGAUCUUCAACUCCACUAAGUUCUCCCCAAGGGUCUUGCUCUGUCACCCACGCUGGAGUGCAGUGGCACAAUCACAGCUCACUACAACCUCAACUUUCCUGGCUCAGUGAUUAUCCCACCUCAGCCUCCUGAGUAGCUGGGACUAACAGGCAUGUGCCAACAUGUCCCACUCAUUUUUUUUUUAUUUUUUGUAGAGAUGGGGUUUCACCAUGUUGUCCAGGCUAGUCUCAAACUCCUGGGCUCGAGCGAUCCUCCCUGCCUUGGCCUGUGCUGGGAUU